CUUUUUCUGGUCAGAGCGAUUGUGACACAGUUGGUUUCUUUUCCCCCGCUCCCUCCCUCUCUGUCUGUGUUAUUUUUGGAAAGCUCGUGUCCCUCCUCCGAAGUUUCAGCUCAGCAGCAGGUUGUAUUUCACAGGCUCCAGCUGAUGGGAACCAUGCCUUGUCACUGCGCGCCGCCGCUGGGGAAGCAGCACAGAACCUUAACUUGAAACUAAGGAAGAGAAGUUCAGCUCAAGGUUUUGAGCAGACAGCGGUGGAGAAAGUUGGACACGAUGGGAGAAUGGAACUUCCUCAGCGAUCUCCUCGAUUCCGUCAAGAACCACUCGCCCAUGCUGGGUCGCAUUUGGCUCCUGCUGAUGGUAAUUUUCCGGAUGCUCGUCCUGGCCACGGUGGGCAGUGACAUUUUUGAGGACGAGCAAGAGGAGUUUAUCUGCAACACGCUGCAGCCGGGCUGUAAACAGGUCUGUUACAAUAAGGCUUUUCCUAUUUCACCGUUUAGGUUCUGGAUGUUUCACAUCGUGAUUCUGUCCAUCCCGACCCUACUGUUUGUGGUCUAUGCUGUACACCAGUCCUCUAAGAAGAAACCAGACGACGUUAGCCUCAAAGAAAGAAAAGGGCUGUCCUCUGAUCCGCCAAAAUUACAGAAAUUCUACUUGAUUCAUGUGAUUCUGCGUCUGCUCACUGAGAUCGGCCUCGUCGUUUCUCAGUUUUUAAUAUACGGCUUUACGAUCGAACCCCAGUUUCUCUGCUUCGGCUUCCCAUGCCCUCACACAGUGGACUGUUUCGUUUCCCGUCCAAUGGAGAAGACAGUCUUUUUAAUGUUCUACUUCGUAAUUGGUGUCAUUUCUGCGACUGUUAGCUUUGUAGAAUUGGUGCACGUUUUUCGCAAAUUGUUUUGUGGGAAGCCACUGAAAGCCUGCGAGCAACAGAACCGGUCAAACAGUAAUUAUGAGAAAGGGAGGGAUCCCCACGCAGUCCGGCUAAUGGAGAAGAAAAGUACAGUCACUUGCAACACCAACUAUUCUGACGUGGAGUCUUCUCACAAGAGCAAAUCAUUAGGUAGCAGCAACAGUGUAAGAUCCUCACAGUCAAGUACAAAGAAACCCCCUCUUCAUAUCUAAGAGGAAGUGGUAUAGGAUCUGAUUGGUCAUGGACUUUCAUACUGAACAACGUCUCAGCAAAAAAGAGACUGAAAUCUUAACAAGUGCAAAAUCAGGUCUGAUCAGAACCUUCUGUGGCUCAAUGGAAAGCCGAACAAACUUAACUGUUUUCAAUUCCACUUGCUCUCUGUCCACAUGCUUGUGAUUUUAUCAGUGAUAAUGGGAACUGCAGAUGCUGGAGAAUUCCAAGAAAAUAAAAUGUGGCGCUGGAUGAACACAGCAGGCCCAGCAGCAUCUCAGGAGCACAAAAGCUGACGUUUUGGGCCUAGACCCUUCAUCAGAGAGGAGUUGCAGAAGACUUUUGAGGUUGAGGAGAUGGGCAAUCACGUGAAUGGUCCCUGUGGAUUUGAGCGAGAUACCAGAGAGUGACGAAGGGUCACGUGCCGUGAGAACAAGUCAGCGCCAUGAUGCUACAAUGAAAGCUGAGAAGAAGAAAGAAAAUCACAGCAUUAUUAGCAGGAUGGGGGGGGGGAUGCAGAAUUCCACAACCUUUUUGUAAUUGAAGUUGGCUGGUACCAACAUUGUACCGUAACAGAGUGACAUUAACUAUGCUCAAAUUCCUGGCAGUAUUCAUUGUCCACUCUCUGUAGGAGAUGCUUUUGACUCUGCAUCCCUUUUAUGUGAUUAAAACAAUAUUUUUAAACAAA
This is an RNA transcript of Stegostoma tigrinum, 1805 nucleotides long. It is a transcript of the gene named gap junction delta-3 protein-like, with no coding region annotated. Lineage: Eukaryota; Metazoa; Chordata; Chondrichthyes; Orectolobiformes; Stegostomatidae. The transcript has 3 exons. The record is from RefSeq and is a predicted model, not a curated record.